This 258-nucleotide ribosomal RNA is filed under the name uncultured Glomus. RNAcentral's name for it is "partial 18S ribosomal RNA". It matches the Rfam family "Eukaryotic small subunit ribosomal RNA", at positions 624 to 885 of the family's 1831-position model. The record is from RNAcentral. Lineage: Eukaryota; Fungi; Glomeromycota; Glomeromycetes; Glomerales; Glomeraceae.
AAGCUCGUAGUUGAAUUUCGGGGUUAGUAGGUUGGUCAUGCCUCUGGUAUGUACUGGUCUCACUGAUUCCUCCUUCCUUAUGAACCGUAAUGCCAUUAACUUUGGUGUUGCGGGGGAAUUUGGACUGUUACUUUGAAAAAAUUGAGUGUUUAAAGCAAGCUAACGCUUGAAUACAUUAGCAUGGAAUAAUGAAAUAGGACGUUCGAUCUUAUUUUGUUGGUUUCUAGGAUUGACGUAAUGAUUAAUAGGAUAGUUGGG